Molecule: ribosomal RNA, 404 nt
Filed under: Verrucomicrobiota bacterium
Lineage: Bacteria; Pseudomonadati; Verrucomicrobiota
Description: Verrucomicrobia bacterium partial 16S ribosomal RNA
Rfam family: Bacterial small subunit ribosomal RNA
Source: RNAcentral
UGGGGAAUAUUGCACAAUGGGGGAAACCCUGAUGCAGCGACGCCGCGUGAGCGAUGAAGGCUUUCGAGUCGUAAAGCUCUGUCCUAUGGGAAGAUAAUGACGGUACCAUAGAAGAAAGCCCCGGCUAAUUACGUGCCAGCAGCCGCGCUAAUACGUAAGGGGCGAGCGUUGUCCGGAAUUAUUGGGCGUAAAGAGUGCGUAGGCGGCAAAUUAAGUCAGAUGUGAAAACUAAGGGCUCAACCCAUAGAUUGCAUCUGAAACUGAUAUGCUUGAGUCAAGGAGAGGAAAGUGGAAUUCCUAGUGUAGCGGUGGAAUGCGUAGAUAUUAGGAGGAACACCGGUGGCGAAAGCGGCUUUUUGGCCUGCAACUGACACUGAGGCGCGAAAGCGUGGGGAGCAAACAGG